CUACAUACAGUUAUUAGUGUGUAAAAAAUACAUUGAUGUAUGUGAUGUCUGUAUCUAUAUGAUGUGUAUAUAUUGAUAUGUUUGUGUGUAAAGUAAAAAUUGUCUAUAUAUAGUGCACUAAUAUAUACAUAUUUAUAUACAUUGCGGUGUAUGACUAUAUACACAUUUAUUAUUAGUUUAUACAGUUAUUAACGUAUAUGUAUACUGAUUUAUAUACUACAGAUACACACACUCACAUUAACACUCAUGCUCACACUCACACACUCACACUCAUACUCAUACUUUCACUCACACUCUCACACUCACACUCACACUCACACUCACACUCAUACUCACUCACAAUCACAAUCACAAUCACAAAAAUAUAUGCUACACAUAUGUGUUGUGUAUAGACUGAUGUGUGUUUAUAUACGAUAUGUAUAUACUGAUAUAUUUAUGCGUGUAUAUAUGUUUG
Molecule: long non-coding RNA, 454 nt
Filed under: Amborella trichopoda
Lineage: Eukaryota; Viridiplantae; Streptophyta; Magnoliopsida; Amborellales; Amborellaceae
Description: long non-coding RNA (ATRI_LNC001057)
Source: RNAcentral